Molecule: ribosomal RNA, 749 nt
Filed under: Streptomyces mirabilis
Lineage: Bacteria; Bacillati; Actinomycetota; Actinomycetes; Kitasatosporales; Streptomycetaceae
Description: bacterial SSU rRNA
Rfam family: Bacterial small subunit ribosomal RNA
Source: RNAcentral
UCGAACGAUGAACCACUUCGGUGGGGAUUAGUGGCGAACGGGUGAGUAACACGUGGGCAAUCUGCCCUGCACUCUGGGACAAGCCCUGGAAACGGGGUCUAAUACCGGAUAACACUCCUGCACUCAUGUGUGGGGGUUAAAAGCUCCGGCGGUGCAGGAUGAGCCCGCGGCCUAUCAGCUUGUUGGUGAGGUAAUGGCUCACCAAGGCGACGACGGGUAGCCGGCCUGAGAGGGCGACCGGCCACACUGGGACUGAGACACGGCCCAGACUCCUACGGGAGGCAGCAGUGGGGAAUAUUGCACAAUGGGCGAAAGCCUGAUGCAGCGACGCCGCGUGAGGGAUGACGGCCUUCGGGUUGUAAACCUCUUUCAGCAGGGAAGAAGCGCAAGUGACGGUACCUGCAGAAGAAGCGCCGGCUAACUACGUGCCAGCAGCCGCGGUAAUACGUAGGGCGCAAGCGUUGUCCGGAAUUAUUGGGCGUAAAGAGCUCGUAGGCGGCUUGUCACGUCGGGUGUGAAAGCCCGGGGCUUAACCCCGGGUCUGCAUUCGAUACGGGCUAGCUAGAGUGUGGUAGGGGAGAUCGGAAUUCCUGGUGUAGCGGUGAAAUGCGCAGAUAUCAGGAGGAACACCGGUGGCGAAGGCGGAUCUCUGGGCCAUUACUGACGCUGAGGAGCGAAAGCGUGGGGAGCGAACAGGAUUAGAUACCCUGGUAGUCCACGCCGUAAACGGUGGGAACUAGGUGUUGGCG